This 3739-nucleotide long non-coding RNA is filed under the name Arabidopsis thaliana (thale cress). RNAcentral describes it as "long non-coding RNA (ATHA_LNC000530)". Lineage: Eukaryota; Viridiplantae; Streptophyta; Magnoliopsida; Brassicales; Brassicaceae. The record is from RNAcentral.
UUUGCUCACAGCUUUGGAUCACCAAAAAAAAAACUCAAGAGAGACUUUGUGGCCAUGGCAGCCUCUCUCCAAUCCACCGCUACAUUCCUCCAGUCGGCGAAGAUCGCCACCGCUCCUUCUCGCGGAAGUUCUCACCUCCGAUCGACUCAAGCCGUCGGCAAAUCUUUUGGGCUCGAAACUUCCUCGGCUCGCCUCACUUGCUCCUUCCAGUCUGACUUUAAGGACUUCACCGGUAAAUGCUCCGACGCUGUCAAAAUCGCCGGAUUCGCUCUUGCCACCUCUGCUCUCGUCGUCUCGGUAACUUUCUUUAAUCUCCGACUCUCCUUUAAAACUAUAGAUUAAUCAAGAAAAAAAAGGAGAAUUGAGUAACAGAGAAGAAGAGUAUUUUGUUGUGUUUGUGAUAACAUGUUUAUGAUUUGCAUUACUAUGUAUCGAAGUUGGCACUUGAGAACACCUAAACCAAUAACAGACUCGGAUAGUAUAAUAGAAGGAGAAACCGCUAUUCCAAUUCUGUAAUCUUCGAUUCAUGUAGAUACAAUCUUCUUGGAUCAGUGAGUUUGAUUUAAAGUUGCUUGUUUCUCGUGUAAUGAAAGGGAGCAAGUGCGGAGGGAGCUCCAAAGAGAUUGACCUAUGAUGAGAUUCAGAGCAAGACAUACAUGGAAGUGAAAGGAACUGGAACGGCUAACCAGUGCCCUACUAUUGACGGUGGCUCUGAGACUUUCUCGUUCAAACCCGGAAAGUAUGCAGGAAAGAAGUUCUGCUUCGAGCCUACUUCCUUCACCGUCAAGGCAGACAGUGUAAGCAAGAACGCUCCUCCAGAGUUCCAGAACACAAAGCUCAUGACCCGUCUUACCUACACCCUUGACGAGAUCGAAGGACCCUUCGAGGUUCGAUUUCGCGUCUUUGCUUAGACUGCAAGAAAAAACUCUGCUUAGGGUUAGGGUUUGUGAUUGAUCGUCUCUUUAAUGAGCAGGUUGCUUCAGACGGAAGCGUCAAUUUCAAGGAAGAAGAUGGAAUCGACUAUGCUGCAGUCACAGUCCAACUUCCAGGAGGUGAACGUGUGCCAUUCCUUUUCACAGUCAAACAGCUUGACGCCUCAGGCAAACCAGACAGCUUCACCGGAAAAUUCUUGGUUCCAUCGUACCGUGGCUCUUCCUUCUUGGACCCAAAGGGCCGUGGUGGAUCCACAGGAUAUGACAACGCCGUGGCAUUGCCAGCUGGAGGCAGAGGAGACGAGGAGGAGCUUGUAAAGGAGAACGUGAAGAACACUGCCGCUUCAGUGGGAGAGAUCACUCUGAAAGUGACAAAGAGCAAGCCGGAGACAGGAGAGGUGAUCGGAGUGUUCGAGAGUCUUCAGCCGUCGGAUACUGACUUGGGUGCUAAGGUACCAAAGGAUGUGAAGAUCCAAGGGGUGUGGUAUGGUCAACUUGAGUGAUCAUGUUAUUAUAUUUUCCGUUGAUUGUGUUUGAUGAUAAUGAUAACAUCUUUUGAUGCUUUCUUCGUUUAUCUCUCUUAUAUAAAAUGCACAUGCCUAAGAUCUUGAAUUUUCUGUAUAUCCAUGUCCUUCAUCGUAAAAACAGUACCGAUUUUAACCUUACGGUCUAUGAUGAGAAAAGCAUAAAAAUUGUUUGUUAUCGACUAAAUCUGGUUUGGUUAAGACUUAAGAGUCUAUUGGAAAGUUGUGAAGCACAUGUUAAGCAGUUGAGGUGAGUCUCUUUGUAAAGGUGAAGAUGAGUUUAUAUAUCGUACUACUUGUUUAAACUCAAUAAACUAGGCUAAGUUAGCAUUUAUCAGAACUAUAACCAAAUCGAAUUUGUUGUAUAUAUAGAUUGGUACAGUUAUUUAUCACCAAAUUUAGUCCACUUCGAACCAAGUCAAAGAAAAAUAGGAAAUGCACAUCCUUAAGAACCUCUAAUUGUCGGUUAAAAAAGACUAAGAACUGUUCAAAACUUAUGAUCUCAAAUGGUAAUAAUAGAAAGAACUAGCCGUUGUUUGUUUGUUUUUGUCUCCCUUCAACCCAACCCUUUGUGUAUUUUUCCUACACUAUAUUAUCCAAUGUUUGGGCCUUAAAACAUGUUAUCAGUCCCCAAUAUGAUGGGCUUUCUUGUAUAAGUUCCUUUUUUCUUCAUCUUUUUAUAAAUAGAUAAACCUCCAUUUGACAGUAACAACAAAAAUAUACAUGACUGGAUUGCAUGGUACUCCUGUGAUAUAGUAUUUUAUAAGAAAUUAGUUAGAUGCAUCGGGUGGCGAGUAGCAAGUGGAAAUAAUGUUUUAAUUUUUGAAAAUAAUUUAGUCUUAAUCCGCCACUGAUUACGCUGUAUUUUAAUGUGCAUGGGGUGUGAAUAUUAUAUAAACAACAGUGUUUUUGUUUAACCUAUAAAUUAAAAUAUAUAAUGGUCUGGGUUUGGUCUUACAUCUCGAAACAUGAAAGAACACAGACAAUUACGUUGGCGUGGGACACAGCACAUAACAACUGCAGAUCGCAGACAGAUUCUCUCUUAAGUAUCAAACCAUUAAACCACUCGUAUUAGUCUAAUUAGUCAGAUUAGUUUAUCUUCCUAGGGACAUAAUUCUAUUUUAUAUUUCAGAUAGAUCGGAUUCAUCGCAAUGCAUAGUACAAAUCUUACAUUCACUCGGCCAAAAUUUUCAGAUCUUGUAGCAGUAGAUUGUAUGAGCGUGUGUUAGUACUACCUAAUCACAUGUUCGAAAUCUAAAAUCACUAUUGUUUUAUAGCAAAUUAAUUUAUAGAUAUUAAAGACAGUAACAAAGAACUUCAAAAAAUUACCAUAAGAGUAUUAUCAAAUAGGAACAAGAAUGUGCCUCGUGCUCGAAAUGGAAGUAUAUCGUAAGCAAAAUUGUAUUAUUGUCUAAUUUCACCUCAUGGAAUAACUAUUGUUGGCCUUAUAUAUGUUUUUGUCAUUACCGUGGCAGAUUAAUAUCCACUAGACCUGAGUGACCUGACGAACCAUUAUUUAAAUAUUCAAACAAAAUGGUUAUAGGAACUUGGGACAAGUUUUUACGUAUGUAAAAACAAAAGAUAUAUCAGACAAAAUCAAGUAAAAUAUUUAAAAAAUCCCAUCGUAAAAUUAGACAUCGGUGGAGACGUGGGUGAUUUCAGUCCCACAAAAACAUAGGAAAAAAAAGAAAGAUAUUUUUGUGUGUGUGUGAAUAAUUCUCUAUAUUCAGAAGUAUAGAGGGGUAGGGGGAUUAGAUAUUUACUUGUCGACCACUUAAAUAGAUAUUUUACUUAAUCAUUAACAUAGCAAACAUAGCAAAUGAUAUUUUAAAAGUGAUCAGUCACCUUUAACACAAAAAGAAAGACGAAACUCUUCAACGAAUCGAUAUGACUGAAAUCAUUAAACCAUGCAAUAUAAUAUCGUAAACACAAUACAAAAAUCAAAUUCUAUACAGCUUUUGCAUACCGUCCAAAUCCACCAUAAAAAUAGACACUAUAAUUUUAAAGGUCUUCCUAAUAAAUGCCACAUUCAUGCAAAAUAAAAAAAGUAACAAUAAAAAAUGAAGGUAGGUGACUCUUGUAUCUACCAAAAGGGUCCAAAAAGAAUCUAAAGGGACCCAAUCACACAUGCCAGCCUGACCAGCCCCAAUAGUCUUCACGUGAGAUCUAACCCACCGGUGACGCUAAACCUCCGGCCAACUCAAUCUUGUCUGCUUGCCGGUCCUGCCUCUGUCUGCCACGUGGCAUCUUCCUCCCUCACAAGUCACCACCUAUGCUCCUUCC